UAAUGAUUCACAGUUAACUAGUGUGUGUGU
This 30-nucleotide non-coding RNA is filed under the name Rattus norvegicus (Norway rat). Lineage: Eukaryota; Metazoa; Chordata; Mammalia; Rodentia; Muridae. The record is from RNAcentral.